UAAUUAAGGGCGUAUGGGGAAUGCCUAGGCUCUCAGAGGCGAUGAAGGACGUGAUAAGCUGCGAAAAGUUGCGGGGAUCUGCACACAAGAAUUGAUCCGCAAAUAUCCGAAUGGGGCAACCUGGCAUAUUGAAGAUAUGUUAUCCGCAAGGAGGCGAACCCGGAGAACUGAAACAUCUAAGUACCCGGAGGAGAAGAAAACAAAAGUGAUUCCGAUAGUAGCGGCGAGCGAACUUGGAUUAGCCCAAACCAAUAUUGUUACGGCAAUAUUGGGGUUGUAGGACUACGAUAUUCUGUGCUUUAUGAAUUAGAACGCUUUGGAAAGAGCGGCCAUAGACGGUGAUAGCCCGGUAUAAGUAAAGACAGUUACAGAUAGUAGUAUCCUGAGUAGUGCGGGGCACGUGAAACCCUGUAUGAAUUUGGCGGGACCAUCCGUUAAGGCUAAAUACUCCUGAGAGACCGAUAGUGAACCAGUACCGUGAGGGAAAGGCGAAAAGAACCCCUGUGAGGGGAGUGAAAUAGAACCUGAAACCGUGUGCAUACAAGCAGUCGGAGCCC
This 557-nucleotide ribosomal RNA is filed under the name Asterionellopsis glacialis. Its description in RNAcentral is "partial Bacterial large subunit ribosomal RNA". It matches the Rfam family "Bacterial large subunit ribosomal RNA", at positions 1 to 582 of the family's 2925-position model. Lineage: Eukaryota; Bacillariophyta; Plagiogrammaphyceae; Rhaphoneidales; Asterionellopsidaceae. The record is from RNAcentral.